RNAcentral lists this ribosomal RNA (460 nucleotides) under uncultured bacterium. RNAcentral's name for it is "partial 16S ribosomal RNA". It matches the Rfam family "Bacterial small subunit ribosomal RNA", at positions 338 to 795 of the family's 1533-position model. The record is from RNAcentral.
CCUACGGGAGACCGCAGUGUGGAAUAUUGGUCCAUGGGCUUACGCCUGAACCAGCCAAGUCGCGUGAGGGAAGACUGCCCUAUGGGUUUUACACCUCUUUUGUCAGGGAGCAACGCCGGCUACGUGUCGCCGGACUGAGAGUACCUGCAGAACAAGCAUCGGCUAACUCCGUGCCAGCCGCCGCGGUAAUACGGAGGAUGCGAGCGUUAUACGGAUUUCUUGGGUUUAAAGGGUGCGUAGGCGGAAUGCCAAGUCAGCGGUAAAAUCGCGGGGCUCAACCUCGCUCCGCCGUUGAAACUGGCGUGCUUGAGUGGGCGAGAAGUAUGCGGAAUGCGUGGUGGAGCGGUGAAAUGCAUAGAUAGCACGCAGAACUCCGAUUGCGAAGGCAGCAUACCGGCGCCCAACUGACGCUGAAGCACGAAAGCGUGGGUAUCGAACAGGAUUAGAUACCCUGGUAGUC